CGGCCCAUACGUCCUUUUUACCGAAAACUGACAAUGAAGUCAUGAUAGGAGUGAAAAACUUAACCCCAGAAGGUCUAAAGCGCCGGGCAAAUUGCGUGGCUUGAUCGAGAAGUUCUGCAAUGGUUUUAUUAUCUUUUGCAAAUUAA
Maniola jurtina (meadow brown) is the source of this 146-nucleotide long non-coding RNA. RefSeq lists it as uncharacterized. The transcript has 5 exons. NCBI's taxonomy places the organism in Eukaryota, Metazoa, Arthropoda, Insecta, Lepidoptera, Nymphalidae. The record is from RefSeq and is a predicted model, not a curated record.